CCCUUAGAUGUUCUGGGCCGCACGCGCGCUACACUGAUGCAUUCAACAAGCCUAGCCUUGACCGAGAGGUCCGGGUAAUCUUUGAAACUGCAUCGUGAUGGGGCUAGAUUAUUGCAAUUAUUAAUCUUCAACGAGGAAUGCCUAGUAAGCGUGAUUCAUCAAAUCGCGUUGAUUACGUCCCUGCCCUUUGUACACACCGCCCGUCGCUUCUACCGAUUGAAUGUGUUGGUGAGGAGCUCGGAUUGGCAGCAGUUGGUGGUUCGCCACCGGCUAUUGCUGAGAAGUCCUCCAAACCGCCCCAUUUAGAGGAAGGAGAAGUCGUAACA
This 326-nucleotide ribosomal RNA is filed under the name uncultured eukaryote. RNAcentral describes it as "partial 18S ribosomal RNA". It matches the Rfam family "Eukaryotic small subunit ribosomal RNA", at positions 1470 to 1796 of the family's 1831-position model. The record is from RNAcentral.